Molecule: ribosomal RNA, 549 nt
Filed under: uncultured bacterium
Lineage: Bacteria
Description: bacterial SSU rRNA
Rfam family: Bacterial small subunit ribosomal RNA
Source: RNAcentral
CAAUAGACUACCCUGGUAGUCCACGCCGUAAACGAUGAGUGCUAAGUGUUAGGGGGUUUCCGCCCCGUUAGUGCUGCAGCUAACGCAUUAAGCACUCCGCCUGGGGAGUACGGUCGCAAGACUGAAACUCAAAGGAAUUGACGGGGGCCCGCACAAGCGGUGGAGCAUGUGGUUUAAUUCGAAGCAACGCGAAGAACCUUACCAGGUCUUGACAUCCCAUUGACCACUAUGGAGACAUAGUUUUCCCUUCGGGGACAACGGUGACAGGUGGUGCAUGGUUGUCGUCAGCUCGUGUCGUGAGAUGUUGGGUUAAGUCCCGCAACGAGCGCAACCCUUGUUCUUAGUUGCCAUUCAUUUAGUUGGGCACUCUAAGGGGACUGCCGGUGACAAACCGGAGGAAGGUGGGGAUGGCGUCAAAUCAUCAUGCCCCUUAUGACCUGGGCUACACACGUGCUACAAUGGACGGUACAAACGGUUGCCAACCCGCGAGGGGGAGCUAAUCCGAUAAAACCGUUCUCAGUUCGGAUUGUAGGCUGCAACUCGCCUACA